GUGGUCGGACAUCCUGCCCAAUCUACAUCACAAAAAACAUUAAUGGUUAGAAAGCUUUAUUAUUUGUGACCUUGUAAGCUUAAGUAAUUAAGGGGCCGUGUUAUUUUUCACAUUAUCUUUGGUUUAUGAGGUUAGUACCAUUUGUUAUUUUUUUUGGUUGAUUGAUGAAAUGACUUUUUAUUUUUUUAUGUUAUUUCUCUCUAAGAUAGUAGAAAAUGCUUACAUUUUUUUUUGGUGUCACGGCUCACUUUUUUUAGCUUUAAAAUAUUAUUAUUAACAAAUACAGUAAGUAUUUAAUUUCUAAACAAGCCCUGAAUUGCUUUACCAUUCUCGAUUCACGAACACCCUGAAACAUGCAUUCUUCAUACGAAACUCUCAAAAUCGCUAUCACUCUCAAAAUCCCUAUUACUCCAAUACUUAAUCCCUCACCGCACUCAUGUUCAUCACGAUUCAGCAUCGAAUCCUAACCGCACUCAAAAUCCUUAGUGUUCAUCACAAUCAACACUGAAUCCCUAACUCACACUGAAUCCCUAACUGCUCCCUUAGAAUGGUUCUCACUCGCACGAUCACUUUUUCAGAACUAUGAACUGUUCUCGUUCGUACCAACGGUCACUUCCGAAUCGCUAGCUCACUAGUUCUUUUGUAACCAAUUUUUUUUUUUUGCGAGUGUGGGAUUGAUUAUGAAUAGGGAUUUAGAACUGUGAUUGUUGGUUAUUUUAUGAAUCGUUUGUGUUUGGUUUUGGUUCUAUGUUUUAUCUUUUAAUUUGUUUACAUGAGAAAGUUUAGUUCUAGAUUUGAUUUUGUGUUGAGAAAGUUUUCUUGUUGUGAGAAAUACUUGCAUGACCAUUAAUAUUUAGUUCCAAUUUGGCCACACUCACAUAAUUGAGAAAAAAGUAUAAAGAAAAAAUAAUUAAAUAAUGUGUAUAUUUUGUUAUGUGUGUGACUAAAUAAUGACCNNNNNNNNNNNNNNNNNNNNNNNNNNNNNNNNNNNNNNNNNNNNNNNNNNNNNNNNNNNNNNNNNNNNNNNNNNNNNNNNNNNNNNNNNUUUUUUUUUUUGUUUUUGUUUUUGUUUUACAUAUAGGCUCUUUACUUGUGUAGCUUUAGUUAUUAUUGAAUUAUGAGCAAUGCUGUAUACUACGAAAAUCUGAUUAACGAAUUCCACCACACACACAUCAUGUGACAUUUUUUUUUAAAAUUAAAUAAUAACAAAUAUUAAAUUGGUCUUUUGGAGGAAAACAUGGGGUGGAAGUAUAAUUCUUAGGUUUUUUACUUGUAUGUGUAUGUAGUAGAUUUCCCAACCGUGCGACGCAUGUGAAAGAAUUUGUUUAUAUGAUAUGAUUUUAUAUUUCGUUUGUUAGUACGACCAAUAAAUAAUUUCACAUAAUAUUUCGAUAUCAUUAUAAAUUAAACUAAAUAUAAUUCGACCUUAUAAUUAGAUUAAAGGGAUAAUUAUUAUACAACUUACUCAAUAUGUAAGUCAUCCAUAAGGUUGAUUGAAAAUCAGACUAAUAAUAACAUAAUAAAACAUCACACGAUUCUUAAAAUAUAAGCUGCAUUAAACAAAUGAUCAAGGCAAACAUUAGCUCAUCUUUUUUCUGCUCAAUUGAAGAAAAAAAAUGUGUGUGUAAGUAGAGAUCUCAAGCUAAUGGGUUGGGCCAAAUUAAUAGUAGCACCCCCAACUUCUUUACAAACAUUAGCUCAAUAUUUUACCACCCAAUUGAAGAAAAAAAAUAAGUGUGUAUGAGUAGAAAUCUCAAGCUAAUGGGUUGGGCCAAAUUAAUAACAGCACCCCAAGUUUUGUUACAAACAUUAGUUCAUAUUUUCUCUGCCCAAUUGAAGAAAAAAUGUGUGUAUAAGUAGAGAUCUCAAGCUAAUGGGUUGAGCCAAAUUAAUAAUAGCACGCACAACUUCGUUACAAGCAUUAGCUCAUUUUUUCCCGCCCAAUUGGAAGAAAAAAAAGUGUGUAUAAUUAGAUAUCUCAAGCUAAUGGGUUGGGCCAAAUUAAUAAUAGCACCCUCAGCUUCGUUACAAACAUUAGCUCAUCAUUUUCAUGCCCAAUUGAAAAGAAAAAAAGUGUGUAUAAGGUAGAGAUCUCAAGAUAAUGGGUUGAGCCAAAUUAAUAAUAGCAUUUCAGCUUCGUUACAAACAUUAGCUCAUUCUUUUUCUGUCCAAUUGAAAAGAAAAAAAAGUGCGUAUAAGUAGAGAUCUCAAGCUAAUGGAUUAGGCCAAAUUAAUAAUAGCACUCCCGCUUCGUUACAAACAUUAGCUCAUCAUUUUUCUGCCCAAUUGAAAAGAAAAAAAAAGUGUGUAUAAGUAGAGAUCUCAAACACGAUUAAUUAUGUAAAUAACAUGAGAAUUAUGACCCUUUAUCUACCCAAUAGAAAAUAUCUCUUUUAACGUUUGUCAGAAAAUGUAUUCUAAACUUUACUUUUCAAAGAGGAAAAGUAAUUGUAUCUUUUGCAGAGUGGAAUAUUUAAAUGAAGAAAAUAUAGAGGAAGUUUUUACCCUUUUUAAUAUAGGAGAAGACAACGUUUUGCAGUCACCAAGGUCAAGUUCUUGAAUGAAUUUUCAAUAUAUUUCUCCUUGUAUCUCUCCUUCUCUUUAGCUCCAUCCAUCCCUAUCUUGUGUUCUUUGUAUUCCAACUUGGUUGAUCUUGUUGAAUGACCGUAGUAGCUAGUGGCUCUGAACAUGAUAUAUUGAAUUCCUCUAGUUUCAAAAUGGGACUUAGAGGCUAAUUUUGUUCACAUGAGAAGGAACGACAAAGGCUUUAUUUUUCUUCUAUGGUAGGCUUUAUUUUUCUUUCACAAUCAAAUGAGAGUUUUCAAAUACAAUGAAAGCUAUACAUGUGUCGCGGUGAUUUUCGG
This 2864-nucleotide long non-coding RNA is filed under the name Trifolium pratense (red clover). RNAcentral describes it as "long non-coding RNA (TPRA_LNC005282)". The record is from RNAcentral. Lineage: Eukaryota; Viridiplantae; Streptophyta; Magnoliopsida; Fabales; Fabaceae.